UCCUUUUCAGAUUUGAAUUGCAGAACAUAAUCAUAGAAUUUUGUAAUAUAUCUAGGCUUGGGAUGUGUGUUGCUGACCCUCCAUUUAGCUUAUUUGCCUGAACCAGGGAACUAGCUGUCUUUCAGGUUCUUUGAGCCUGUACUUUCAGGAAUCUGCACCUUCCUGGGAUGAAUAUUGAAAGGCCAGAGAGCAUCACUGAAGACUGCAAAAGAGGGAAUGAGGAGUGGUAUCCUAUAUAAGGAAGACAUCUAGAGAACAUAGAGGGAAACAGAGGCAAAAGUCCCAGGGAUCUGCUUUUCCAGAAGUCUCUGCCUUCAACCAAGCACAUAUGAAGGUUUUUAAGUGCUUGGUAGUUUUUGAAUCAGCCUCCACCAAUGUAAUAACUGAAUUAUUACAUUUUAAUGUUUGAACACCCACGAUAAGAGGAUUUCAAACCUCAAUGUGCACAUUUGUUUGUUUACUUAUAUCUUUAAUGUUCAAAGAUUUCACAUCUUUUUCAUGACUUUAUUAGUUGUUUUACAAUGAAUGGAUGUGAUGGUUUCCUUUCAAUGGGUAUUUUCCAUGCUCAAGAAUGUAGGUUGCCAUUUAGUAGCAAUAUAGUUUUGUGCUUUAUUAAUAGAGUAGAAUGAGGACACUAUUGUUUUGCUUUAUUUGGGGCUAUUACCUUUAUUUAAAUUAAUGAUUAAAGAGUAUGUGAGCAAUUAAUUGUAAUUUGCGUGCAAUCAUCAGGACAGUUUUCAAAACAAAUGAUUUUCAGGUUCCACAAUAUAUUGACUGACACUAUUUGAUGUGGAACUAUGUGUAACUCUUUCUUGACAAAUGCAGAGAUUAGGAGAAGUGGGACAGAAAUUAACAGCUAAACAAAUUUUAUAAAACAGAUGUCUAAUAACAACAGAAACACCAUUUGCUAUUCAAAUAACUAAACAUUCAGGACAAAUGCUUUUGUCCACUACUCACUUAUUUGUUGUUGUAUCUUUUGCUUCAAAGGCAUCACUUUGAAUCUGAGUCACUGAUUUCCGUGUGUGCAACAAUAGAGGACACAGCUAAUUUGAAAACUCAGCAAGAUAUUCCUGAGAAUAGUCUGAAAAGUGGUGCGGAUGACUUACCAAUUGCUUCCGAACAAUAUGAAAAUGUAGAAGAACAAGAAGAAGAACUAGAAUUAGAAACAAUACCGGAUUUAAAACUGGAAAAUGAAAAUGCUUAUAAUAAGAAUGAAGACUAUAAAAAGUUGAAAGCUGCCCAGUCAUCCAACAUAGGAAAUGGUCCAGAAGAAAAUGAAAUAAUUCAAGUUUGGGCUGAAAAAUGUCCGCAUCCAGAG
Long non-coding RNA from Peromyscus eremicus (cactus mouse), 1318 nucleotides. RefSeq lists it as uncharacterized. NCBI's taxonomy places the organism in Eukaryota, Metazoa, Chordata, Mammalia, Rodentia, Cricetidae. The record is from RefSeq and is a predicted model, not a curated record. The transcript has 5 exons.